Molecule: ribosomal RNA, 406 nt
Filed under: uncultured eukaryote
Lineage: Eukaryota
Description: partial 18S ribosomal RNA
Rfam family: Eukaryotic small subunit ribosomal RNA
Source: RNAcentral
CAAUAGUGUAUACUAAAGUUGCUGCAGUUAAAAAGCUCGUAGUUGGAGUUCGGUUAGUAGGGAAUCGGUCUACUCUAUCAAAAGAGUACGAACUGUAUCCCUAUUUCCUUCUUUUCAUAAUAGUCAAUUUUAAUUUGAUCUAUUUUGAAUAUUUUACCUUGAGAAAAUUAGAGUGUUCAAAUCAGGCGUAACCAAGCCUUUGAAUAUAUUAGCAUGGGAUAAUGAAAUAGGACUUCUUAGCCUUAUUUUCGUUGGUUUUUAAACAAGAUUUUUAUAUCUUUUGAGGCAGAAGUAAUGAUUAAAAGGGAUAGUUGGGGUCAUUGGUAUUUAAUAGUCAGAGGUGAAAUUCUAAGAUUUAUUAAAGACAAACUACUGCGAAAGCAUUUGACAAGGAUGUUUUCAUUAA